Marasmius tenuissimus is the source of this 96-nucleotide non-coding RNA. The record is from the annotation of a GenBank genome assembly. Lineage: Eukaryota; Fungi; Basidiomycota; Agaricomycetes; Agaricales; Marasmiaceae.
GGUUCGAUGGCGUAGUUGGUUAUCGCAUCUGUCUAACAUCUGUAGGUUGAAUAUGCCGUACACAGAAGGUCCCCAGUUCGAGCAUGGGUCGAAUCA